UGUUUACCUUUUAGUAUAUGUGCUCGUUUGCUCACAGUUGAUUACUUUGUUUGAUCUAUAAAUUUAAUAAUUUGAUAAUAGUUCAACUGAACUAUUUGCUGUUAUUUGUAAAUAAGGGCCAAUACUAUCUUAUGUCUUUUAUUUGCAGCCCACACUUGUAACCCAACUUUAACAACUGUUAACUCACCGUUUGAUCUCUCUUCGCGGAUUCAACACUUCUUCUCUCAUAUCUCUGCUCUUAUUCCUCCCUUCCCUUCAUUACCCAGAAUCUGUAUGCCAGAGGAUCUAAAAGCUUACUCUUCUUCUAACUUGUUCUUUCUUGUUGAAAUUGACAAAUAACAAAUUGUGCGGCUGGCUUCGUUCUUCUCCACAUCUAAAUUGUUUUGUAGAAAUAAUGGGUUCUGAACAAAAAAACAAACAUGUUUGCUUCGCAAAAUCGAAAGCUGAGAUGAAACUUAGGCGACAUGAAACGUACUGACUAAUAUUUGCGGGAAAAA
Non-coding RNA from Nicotiana tabacum (common tobacco), 497 nucleotides. Lineage: Eukaryota; Viridiplantae; Streptophyta; Magnoliopsida; Solanales; Solanaceae. The record is from RefSeq and is a predicted model, not a curated record.